CUAUUGAAUUAUUUCUGUCGAUGUCUGUUUUUUUUUAUGUAUGUAUGCAUGUAUGUACUAUGUAUGCAUCUAUCUAUCUGUCUAUGUAUCUAUCUAUCUAUCUAUCUAUUUAUGUCUAAUCUAUCACUCUAUCUACCUAUCUAUCUAUCUAUCUAUCUGUGGAGCCACCAUUGUAUACCUGUACAUUUUUCUACCUGUACCUGUAACCAUAUCACCUCUGUACCUGUAUACCUCCAUUGCUGCCUGCCUGACGUUUAACCGUGUAACUCGCUCCACACAUUUUUAUUUCGUUGCAUAUAUUUUUUAGAGUGUUUGACCUCAACAAUUUGUACAAUUUAGGUCUUAUUUUGUUACCGGUUUUCAUUGUGGCUGUGACCUGUUUCUGCAAUGUUAACUUUUUAUCCUUAUCUUGUUUCGAGUUUCAUUGAAUCUUUCCACCUCUUUCUCCAAUUUUAUAUUUUAGCUUGCCGUUCCCCAUUCAGGCUCUUUUUGAGAGUUAUUUCCACAAUGUUAACGUUUUAUUUGGUUUUACGCAAUUUUUGAGGACUGACCGCUUUCCACCAAUUUCGUUUUUUUUUAUUUUUUAUGCAUUUCAUCACUUGCUUCAGUAAUCACCAGUCCCAUUCCUGUUAUUUAUUUGUUUAUUUAUUUAUUUUUUUUAUUUAUUUAUCUUUUUUGUUCAUUUAUUUAUAUGCUUUCAUUUAUUUAUCUUUUUUUCUGGAUGAGAACACAGUGAAAGAUUUCGUAAACAAGUAGACAUGUGUGUGUGAAAUGAAUACAACCUCGAGAAAUUGUCACAGAGUGGAGUCCCUGAAAGAAGUAACAUUAUUAACUUUUAGCAGCUUUUCAUCAUAUAAAAAGUGUGUGUGUGUGUGUGUGUGUGUGUGUGUGUGUGUGUGUGUGUGUGUGUGUGUGUGUGUGUGUGUGUGUGUAUUUUUAUGAAAGGUGUCGUCUUCUCAAUACCAGUAUGGACUUUUUCUUAUGUGAGGAUCGUGAAGCAAAGGUCAGACUGGACAGAUGUGGAGUCAGAGGUGCGGUCAAAAACAUUCCAGCGCCGCUUCCUUCCUUUUAUUUGUCUGCGUUGCCAGUACAUUCCAGGUGCGCGGCAGGUGUCUUAUUGCCUCUUCUUUCAUGCAGGUCGGCGCCGCUAACACCUGGAGGCUCAAUUCAUCACGUCCCGCUGGUGGGCGCCGGGUCAUGCUCUGCUGCGCGAACUAAGAACCAGCUUUCAUUAUCUCUUUACCACCACCCCCACCACCACCACCACCACCACCGCCAUACUCCCACGGCAAUAGACGAGACCUCAAGAAACAAAGACAUUCCUCAGCGUCAUUCCUCAGGUAAAGACAACACAAUUCCGACAGGAGAAGGAAGACUGACGCCGCUGAACGUGUGGUGAACUACGAGUAUAAUGUAACAAGACGAGACUACGAACCAAUUGACUGACUGAUUAUUAACUUUUGGUGCUGCAGUUCCGUCAUAUUAUCGUGACAUGGCAUUCUCAUUAAUUCGCUGAUCGGUCUCGGGUUUUGUCAAGGUAGAAAACGGGUGCCUUCUCCAUCGCAUCGGCCUGUGAUUGGUGGGAAAGUAAUGACAUAUCAGCCCUCCUCUCCCCCACACACGCCAUAACAUACUAAUAGCCUUCAGUCACAGGAUAAAUGUGGUGACCUUACAUUAAUAAGGUCUACAUAGCGUAAGAUGGAGCAAGAGCAAAAGAAGGACUAAAUAAGGAAGAGAAGAAAAAAACAAAAUAAUAAAGAAGGAAGAAGAAUAUAAGGAAGAAGGAAGAAGAAAAGAAAGAAAACAAAAUAAGAAAAAUAAAGAAAAUAAAAACAAAAGGAAGAAGAAAGAAGAAAAGAUAUACAAAAUAUGGAAGAAAAAGAAAAAAAGAUAAAACAAAGUAAUGAAGAAGAAAGAAGAAAAGAAAAACAAAAUUGGGACGAAGGAAAAAAAAAUAUAAAAAAAUAAAGAAAAAAAAGAAAAGGAAAACAAAAUAAGAAAGAAGGAAGAAAAAAAAGAAGUACAAAAUAAGGAAUAAGGAAGACGAAAGAAGAAAUGGAGAAGACGGGUGAAACAAGAAGAAAACAAGUCGGUCAGCACACCUGGAACAAGGUUAUAAACACGGGGAUGUCAUGGACGAGGGAACCGUGGAGAAGGAAAGAGGGAACUAAAACAACAAACACGCAGGCAGAUCACUAUAACAGGAAAAGAUUAACGUGGACGCCAUACAGGAUAAGACGGAGAAAGCGAUGAAAAGUUAUUUAUAUUCUCAGUGUUUUCCUUGCACUGCCUUCUCCUGGGCAGGUUCAAACGUUGUUUUAUUAUUAACAUUCUUGAUUUUAUGUUGUCCAACCUUUCUUUAUCUGUUCUUGUAACCAAUCUUUCGUCAAUCUUUUAAUCUUUUUUUUCACUUAUUUUAUAGGAAUAUAUUAGUUAAAGAAGAUUAGGCAAAUUUAUGGAUGGGGAUGAUAGGUAGACAUAGGUAGAUAGGUAUCGUACAGGCACUGCCACAUGUAGACCUGAUGGCUUCUUGCAAUUCCCAUUGUUUUCUUAUGUUUUUAUGUUCUUAUUCAAUGUAGUGCGGCACCAUAUGACCUCAGUUUUGCGACUCUUCCAGUUCAGUCCACUCAGGAGCAGGAAAGUUUUUUUUUUUUUUUUUAUUCAAGGGAAGAAGGAUAGCCAUCACAUCAUUGAAGGAGAUUCUGUCACGCAUUCCUCCCUCCACUCAUCACGUGACACUCUCCCUCCCUCUUACUCUCAUUCACUCACUCGAGACUCGGUAGUAGGAUUCGUAUUUUUUUUUUUUUUUUUCCAUGUAAUAAACUUGAUUUCAUAACUUCAUUUUGCUAUGAAAGAAAUACAUGUUUAAACAGCGCCGCUUCAUCAAACGGAUCGCGUAGUUCAUGCAAAUGUAAUAAAGGUAAUUAGCACUUUGUAUUACAGAAUUGACUAUGGGAAUAAUACUAAUCUUUAUAC
This is a long non-coding RNA of Scylla paramamosain (green mud crab), 2976 nucleotides long. RefSeq lists it as uncharacterized. NCBI's taxonomy places the organism in Eukaryota, Metazoa, Arthropoda, Malacostraca, Decapoda, Portunidae. The transcript is spliced from 2 exons. The record is from RefSeq and is a predicted model, not a curated record.